GAUGAACGCUGGCGGCGUGCCUAAUACAUGCAAGUCGAGCGAACAGAUAAGGAGCUUGCUCCUUUGACGUUAGCGGCGGACGGGUGAGUAACACGUGGGUAACCUACCUAUAAGACUGGGAUAACUUCGGGAAACCGGAGCUAAUACCGGAUAACAUUUGGAACCGCAUGGUUCUAAAGUGAAAGAUGGUUUUGCUAUCACUUAUAGAUGGACCCGCGCCGUAUUAGCUAGUUGGUAAGGUAACGGCUUACCAAGGCAACGAUACGUAGCCGACCUGAGAGGGUGAUCGGCCACACUGGAACUGAGACACGGUCCAGACUCCUACGGGAGGCAGCAGUAGGGAAUCUUCCGCAAUGGGCGAAAGCCUGACGGAGCAACGCCGCGUGAGUGAUGAAGGGUUUCGGCUCGUAAAACUCUGUUAUUAGGGAAGAACAAACGUGUAAGUAACUGUGCACGUCUUGACGGUACCUAAUCAGAAAGCCACGGCUAACUACG
RNAcentral lists this ribosomal RNA (495 nucleotides) under uncultured bacterium. Its description in RNAcentral is "partial 16S ribosomal RNA". It matches the Rfam family "Bacterial small subunit ribosomal RNA", at positions 28 to 505 of the family's 1533-position model. The record is from RNAcentral.